GACGAACGCUGGCGGCGUGCUUAACACAUGCAAGUCGUACGGUAAGGCCCUUUCGGGGGUCCACGAGUGGCGAACGGGUGAGUAACACGUGAGUAACCUGCCCACAACUUUGGGAUAACGCUAGGAAACUGGUGCUAAUACUGGAUAUGUGCUCCUGCUGCAUGGUGGGGGUUGGAAAGCUCCGGCGGUUGUGGAUGGACUCGCGGCCUAUCAGCUUGUUGGUGGGGUAGUGGCCUACCAAGGCGGCGACGGGUAGCCGGCCUGAGAGGGUGGCCGGCCACAUUGGGACUGAGAUACGGCCCAGACUCCUACGGGAGGCAGCAGUGGGGAAUAUUGCACAAUGGGCGCAAGCCUGAUGCAGCAACGCCGCGUGCGGGAUGACGGCCUUCGGGUUGUAAACCGCUUUCAGCAGGGACGAAGCUUUUUGUGACGGUACCUGCAGAAGAAGCACCGGCUAACUACGUG
Molecule: ribosomal RNA, 465 nt
Filed under: uncultured bacterium
Lineage: Bacteria
Description: partial 16S ribosomal RNA
Rfam family: Bacterial small subunit ribosomal RNA
Source: RNAcentral